RNAcentral lists this unclassified non-coding RNA (250 nucleotides) under uncultured Rozellomycota. Its description in RNAcentral is "uncultured Cryptomycota sequence contains ITS2". Lineage: Eukaryota; Fungi; Rozellomycota. The record is from RNAcentral.
AGACCCACUUCCUCUCGGUUGAGAGGAGAAUUGUCGGUUGUCGGCACAUAAUGUGUUGACUCUGAUUAAAAGCAGAAGGUAUGUGAUCAAGCUAGUGGCUUGGGACAUUGUGUGCUAGAGACGCGGUUGAGUUCGCUCAACAUGCAAGUCUUCUCACAAUGCGUCCUAAGCCCUUGAAAGCUGGCUUGGUUACCGCCUACACAGUGCUGUUUUGCCUCUUUCGGGAGGUGGAAUAGUACAACUCUACCCU